RNAcentral lists this ribosomal RNA (458 nucleotides) under uncultured Acidobacteriota bacterium. Its description in RNAcentral is "SSU rRNA". It matches the Rfam family "Bacterial small subunit ribosomal RNA", at positions 242 to 692 of the family's 1533-position model. The record is from RNAcentral. Lineage: Bacteria; Pseudomonadati; Acidobacteriota.
CAGCUAGUUGGUAGGGUAACGGCCUACCAAGGCGACGAUCGGUAGCCGGCCUGAGAGGGUGAUCGGCCACACUGGAACUGAGACACGGUCCAGACUCCUACGGGAGGCAGCAGUGGGGAAUUUUGCGCAAUGGGCUAACGCCUGACGCAGCAACGCCGCGUGGAGGAUGAAGGUCUUUGGAUUGUAAACUCCUGUCAGCAGGGAAAAAGCGAAUUGGCCUAAUACGCCAGUGAGUUGAUUGUACCUGCAGAGGAAGCCCCGGCUAACUCUGUGCCAGCAGCCGCGGUAAUACAGAGGGGGCAAGCGUUAUUCGGAAUUAUUGGGCGUAAAGGGCGCGUAGGCGGCUUGGCAAGUGGAUGGUGAAAUCCCUCGGCUUAACCGAGGAACUGCCGUCCAAACUGCUUUGCUUGAGGCCGGGAGAGGCGAGUGGAAUUCCCAGUGUAGCGGUGAAAUGCGUA